CCCAACUAUCCCUAUUAAUCAUUACGACGGUCCCGGAAACCAACAAAAUAGAACCAUCGUCCUAUUUCAUUAUUCCAUGCUAAUGUAUUCAAGCGUCGGAGCCCGCUUUGAGCACUCUAAUUUUUUCAAGGUAAAGGUCCUGGUUCCCGCAGACACCAAAUAAAUGGCAUCUACGCUCGCCAGAAGGUGAGACCCGCGGCGAGGCAGUGCUCGCCCAGAGGACGGACCACCCGCACGGGCCUAAGGUUCAACUACGAGCUUUUUAACUGCAACAACUUUAAUAUACGCUAUUGGAGCUGGAAUUACCGCGGCUGCUGGCACCAGACUUGCC
RNAcentral lists this unclassified non-coding RNA (331 nucleotides) under uncultured Paraglomeraceae. Its description in RNAcentral is "sequence contains 18S rRNA gene". Lineage: Eukaryota; Fungi; Glomeromycota; Glomeromycetes; Paraglomerales. The record is from RNAcentral.